CGCCCUGAGGUUGCUGUGUUCGGGAGCUUCCCGGAGUUCCCUUGGCUGGGAUUUUUGGGAGAUUCCGUUCCGCGGAAUCAAUUUCAAUCCCUCGCCUCACCAUUAAAGCUUUGGGGUGACAUUUCGAUUUCCACGUUCUGCCCGCACUCCUCCGAGAAGGCUGAUAAAAAAAUGCCGUGGCAGGCCUAGCGGCUGAGAUACCAUCAGCUGGAAAUCCAUGCCGGGGUUUCCCGCCGCCCACAUUGUCUAUUCUGCUCCGCUAUGUGAAAAAUGUUGAAUAUCAACAAUAGGUUUCAGUGCCGUAUUGUUGAGUUUUGUAUGAACUAAUCUUGCCUUGCUAAAAAGGACCUACAGCUUGGACAAAAAGUCUACAGAGGCUGCAUUCCGCUCUCUCCUUACACCGAGGCGAGCCGAGGCAGAGGAGAAGACGCUGCUGGUGCUGCUGGCUCCUCUCUCUUAAAAGUCCCGUCCCGCUUGCUUGCAGGUGCCGGCCCCUGCUGCACCUGGGUGGGGACCCUGCCUGGGAAACACCCUGGAUUUAUGGCACAAGCUAGGCCUCGGAGGGACAGCCGGGCACAGAUAGGCUGGGGUUGAACGGUUCUGGAGAAGCAAUAUGAUGAACUAAACAGGAGGAAACAGAUCAACAGCAAAUAGUCGGCUGUGGUCCAGGAUCCCCCAAGAACUGUGUCAUUCCAGCAUUGUGCUUUCCCAGAACUGGAUGUAGAUAUACAUAAAAACAAAAUGGCUGCACAGUCACGACAGGCCAAGCUCUGUAAAGUAUGCCAGAGAUGCAAUAUGCUUUCUACGACAAUAGCACAUAACUGAUGUGAAUGGACAAAAUGUGACCAUUUUCGAUGCUACACUGGUCAUGUGACCAUAGAUCCAGAGGUCCAGAAUAAUGUAUCAAUUUUCUAUUGACAAAAUGCAGUUCUGGAAAAAAAUAAGAGACCAGUCUAUAUUUUUAAAGAAAUCUGCAUUUUUAAAUCCUGGUUUAAUCCAGGUUCUGUUGGCAGAAGGCUAUGCUGAGCAACAGGUUGAUUCCAGGUUCAAAAUUUCUAAGACAGCAGCACACAAGAAUAAGGUGCAAGAGGAGACACUGGGAAUGACCAGAAACCAGCCAGGUAAAGGUCUGAAGCUAGAGAUGAACGUCGACUUAUCCGACAGUUUGUCAUGAAUUGGAGGAUGUCAUCAAGUGACCUUCAAAAGGAAUGACAGACAUUAAGUGCAGGUGUGAAGUGCACUGCUAGGACAGUUCAUAUCAGGCUCAUAGAAGCAGGACUGAAGUCCCACAAAGCAAGGAAGAAGCCCUUCAUUAAUGAGAAACAGGGAAGAACCAGGCUGCAGUUUACAAAUAUUACAAAAAAAUAUAUAUUAUUCACAGACACACACCCAUAAAUCAAGAAAUGAAUGAAAAAAAACAUUGUGCUGUGGGCCCUAAUUUCUUUUCCAGAGCUGUAUAUUUUAUGUAGUUUCAUUCAGAUGAUAUUCAAAAAUGUAACCUUGAAACCCCAUUAGACAGGUGGUAUUACCAUGUAGCAAAUGGAUAUACAAACCGAAGGUUGCUGUUUGGAGUCCUAGGGGAGUUUCCAGUGUUGUGCCUCUGAACAAGAUACAUUUCAAUAAUUCAGGAGGAUCACACAUGCAUAAAAUAUUAUAGGUUGCUUGGGAUAAAAGUUUCAGUGAAACAAUGAUUUGAAAAAAAAAAAUGGAAACAAUUUGAGAGAAAUUAGUUUCUUCCUGGGGACAGUGGUCUCUUGCCCUUCCAGAAGGAAAGAGCAGCCCUAUAGCAUUGUGGGAGAGGCAUACUCCUACAUAUAGCUAAUGUCAUUAUAGGAAAUACACUUCUUAAGCAGAAUAUUGACAACGAUACAGUGUAUCGCUUCUCAGGUGACAGGGAAUCUGUAACCUGUCUCACUGUACCAUUGCCCCCUAUGGAUUGCAACACCUGUGAAAACAUUCCAGUAAGAAUUGGUGAGGGGGGAACUUUAAAUGCACACCGUAUGUGUACGACAUCGAGUCAACACAAAAAACGCCAUACAUCAAUAACAUAUAUCAGUUCAAGUGCAUGUGAGAUUAACUGUCAUGUAUGGAAAGUUUGUGCGUGUUCUCCCAUUCUUGACCAGCAGUGUUUCUGAGUAUUAUUCUUGUCCCCGAGUAUUUAAGGAAUUCCCAUAUAACCUGUACGACAGGUGGCCAAGAACAUGCCUGUGAAAUGUUAUGCAUGUUGAACAUGCGUCUCGCAUGCAUUCGCAAAAACAGAAUAUUCUAUAAUGACGUGAGUGGGGGAAUUUGGGGGGAGAUACAAGCAAAACAGUGGAUGUAGCAAAGGCCUCUGGGAAAAAUGCACGUGGCCGUAGGAUUUUCUGGAUGGCCGAUGCUGAGUGACGAUGGAGUCGGCCCUAUUUCUGACAUCAGUCUCUUUCAGGGGGGGUUCCUUUCAAAACUGCGGCCGUUGGAAAAGCGGGGGAUUUUAGCCCCAUCAGCAGUGUGUGAUGUCAGCACGUGAGCCAACAAAAGGGGACAGAUGGGGGGGGGGGGGUGUUAAGGUUUAACAUGGUCCCCUUUCGCUGAGUCAAAAACAGCCGAAGUAGCCUGUUAUUUCUGGCUAAAUCACACGCACUCUUGGGAUUCAAUUUAUUUCAAAAGUACCUUUUACUAUAUAUAAUUGUUUUUUAAAUGUGACUUUUCUUUAUAUAUUUACUUGUUUUAAAUAAUAAGACAACAUUCUAAACAACCACGUAAAUGGGAAUUCUGUGCUUUCUUCGAUUUGGAUCCUCUGGUUUUCUGGCUGAACGUUUUCCUUCUAUAUGCUGUACACUUUCCAAUAGGACAUGCUGAUACAAUCACCUUUUUAAGGCCUUGUUGCAUCAUGAAGUUUGCCCGGCCAGAUGUGCCUGGCGAUAUGCAGGCAGCAAAAAAAAAAAAAAAAACGGUCAACAUAAAAGCCUCGUUCGUCAAAAGCCUCUGACAGUUACUCAAAUGCCCAUAAGAGAAAUGUUUAAUGUUUGAAUUUCAGACUAAAAAAGCAGAACAACGAGCAUGUCAAAAUGCAUUGAUUCUCUGUCAUCGCGUUCCCAAAUUAUUAGCUGAAACGUAAUAUUUUGGUCAAUGCAUACAGACAUGGGAAGUUCCAAAUUGAAGGGAGAAAGUUUGAAAAGUAAAUAAAACUCCUUUCAUUCAAGCACAUUUCAAACAUUCAGGUACAGACAACAAUUUCUGAUUUAAAUACACUAAAAACGGCUUGCCGAUAUAUUGCUUUUAUGUAAACUGUGGCAUCUAGCAUAAUAAUUUGACCUGGAAUGGUAGGUUGGCAGGAAGUAUACAGCACCACGAGCAUCACUUUCUGCUCCCACAAUUACGGCUGUGAUUUCGAGCUUCCGUGUGGCAAAUUUCCUGGAGAAAACAUCCGCCAUGAAAGACUGCGACUGAAACGGAAUAACACGACGAUAUGGAACAUCUGAGCUGUAGCACCAACGUAGUAGAUGCUGAAAUCCACGCAUGCAGAGCCUCGGCGCAGAAAGAAAUGCAGCCUUUCUUGCAGUUUCUACUUCUUGAAAUUGUUAGAGCAAAUUCAUGGGUUGAUAUGGAGACGUGGGUGAUAAUGGUCUCCUUCAGGGUCCCCAGUGUCACUUGUAAAAAAAAAAACCACCCUAACCCUAACCCUACUUGAACCUAUAAACUGUCCUGUAUACAGUAGUUUCUGCCAUUCCAUAAUUUUGACCAACUCGAGAAGGGGGAACAAUCUGUGUUUCUGUACCCCCUGGUGCCAAAGAAUACAACCAGGGACGACUUGGAUGGGCCCUGAAGGCAGGACUUUGUAGGCCGGGCUGACCUCCCAAACAGUUCCCCUUUAUGCUGGCCCUCUCUGGAAGAAUUACGGCGCGAGGACCUCGCAGGAGACCAGGCCGCGUCGGUGGGGGGCUGGGAGAUAAGUCCUGUAAUUGUGACAUACUGUAAAACAGCAGCGUCCAUUCAUGACACGGCCGUGUGUAAUAAACUAUGGGGGGGCAGGAGGGGCGACGGAGAGGCAGCUGCAGUGUGUAGCCCCUGAACAAGGCCACUCUUUCUCCGGGACUCAAGCCUCCCAAUUUACUGCUGUCCAGUCAGCCUCUGAAAUUCUUUGUGAUGAUACAGUUCUACCCACAGAUUCCAACAGGGGUUGGUUUUUUGACUUCGGCCGGGGAGGAGACGGCGACACGACAAUUAUACCCAUUCACUGGACAAUACAUAAAAUCCUUUUUUUAAAAAAAAAAAAGAUUUUUUUUUUUUGAAAAACUGCCACGUGUCUCCUAAUGUUGUGGCAGGUUCCGUAGGCUGUGCUGUACCUGUAGGUUAUGGGACGGCUGUUUUUUUCCCCUUAUAAACCUGGUAAAAGAUCAUGCAGUUACUGUUCCUAGGAAAACAUUAUAGGACCUUGCUGCCAGGACAUGUACGUUUUGUCCAACAGCAGUUCAGUUCUGACCCGGUGUCGAUGCCUGAUUGCAGCUCACCUUGUGCUCUUUCAGCAUCCGGACUCUACAAUAAUUACAGAUUGAAACACCCCAGAAAACGGAAACCGUGGCCUUUCGCACUUUUCUGCUUGAAGCUUUGAGUGUAAACGGAAGGAGGGUUUACUGUGAUGACCACGUCUGUGAUACACGUACGGCACAGAUGCGAUGUCAUUCAUUCCCUUUCCAAUGAUAUGAACAUAUAAUUGUUUUGUAUGAAUAGUGUUGUCGUUGCAUUAUCUUGUACAUUUAAUAAAGAAUGCUUAAACUGU
Long non-coding RNA from Brienomyrus brachyistius, 4759 nucleotides. RefSeq lists it as uncharacterized. NCBI's taxonomy places the organism in Eukaryota, Metazoa, Chordata, Actinopteri, Osteoglossiformes, Mormyridae. The transcript is spliced from 3 exons. The record is from RefSeq and is a predicted model, not a curated record.